GUUGUUGCAGUUAAAAAGCUCGUAGUUGGAUUUCUGGCGUGACGUGGCUGACCCGCCACAAUUAUGUGUGUGAGUGUCGGUUCGCGUCUGCCAUCCUUCUGGAGAACGUGUCUACCGUUAAUAGCGGCCGGAUGCGCGAUCCAGAUCUUUUACUUUGAAGAAAUUAAAGUGUUCAAAGCAGGCUCGCGCUGUGAAUACAUCAGCAUGGAAUAAUAAUUUAGGACUACGGUUCUAUUUUGUUGGUUUCUAGAGCUGAAGUAAUGAUUGAUAGGGAUAGUUGGGGGUGCUAGUAUUCAGCGGCCAGAGGUGAAAUUCUCGGAUUCGCUGAAGACUAACUUAUGCGAAAGCAUUCACCAAGGAUGUCUUCUUUAAUCAAGAACGAAAGUUGGGGGAUCGAAGACGAUCAGAUACCGUCGUAGUCUCAACCAUAAACUAUACCGACUAAGGAUUGGUGAACGUUGUAUUCUCGACUUCAUCAGCACUUUAUGAGAAAUCAAAGUCUUUGGGUUCCGGGGGGAGUAUGGUCGCAAGGCUGAAACUUAAAGGAAUUGACGGAAGGGCACCACCAGGAGUGGAGCCUGCGGCUUAAUUUGACCCAACACGGGAAAACUUACCAGGGCCAGACAUAGUGAGGAAUGACAGAUUGAAGAUCUUUCUUGAUUCUAU
Molecule: ribosomal RNA, 666 nt
Filed under: uncultured marine eukaryote
Lineage: Eukaryota
Description: SSU rRNA
Rfam family: Eukaryotic small subunit ribosomal RNA
Source: RNAcentral